Harpia harpyja (harpy eagle) is the source of this 940-nucleotide long non-coding RNA. RefSeq lists it as uncharacterized. Lineage: Eukaryota; Metazoa; Chordata; Aves; Accipitriformes; Accipitridae. The record is from RefSeq and is a predicted model, not a curated record. The transcript is spliced from 2 exons.
GCCGCUGCGGCCCCCCUCGUCCCAAGGGCGCCGGCGGGCGCGGGUGGGCCGGGGGCCCCGGCCUCCCCUGCCCUGCCGUAAAAGGCCCUGGUGCGCAGCCCGGCCAACUGGGGAAACGGAGCAAGAAAUAGCACGGAGAUGAUGGCGGAUGAGCAGAAAUACACGCGAGCCAGGGACUUACCACCUGGCUGGAGGCCGGCGUUCCUUAAAGCAAGGACAACAGGUAGCAAAACCUGGUUUUUUAUUUUUGUGUUACCCUGCGAUCACGGUGAGCAACUCUUCUCUCCGUUCAAGCUCUCCUUCCUCACAGAAGAUGUGACUCUUUAAAUAUAUAAUAAAUAGUGAAACAUGCUGAUGUGUGUGUGCGCUACUUCUGAUCCGUCUUUGGGAGGAGAAGAUGAACGUUACCCAACACAGCGUAGCUCAGACUGCCAAGGGUCGCAUAGGGCACAUCUGCAAAGCAGGACUAGAAAAGGCUACCACCAUGUCCUGCUCUCUUCUGCACUCGCCUGCAUCGGCCCUGGAGAAGCGGGAUGACAUCCUCUGCCCAGCUCAGCCCUGAGGAGGGAGGAAUGAUGAUUUCCCCAGCCCCACAUCUGGCGUGACCACUGGCACCUCCCGGUUGGCCCCUUCCCAGUCCCGGACCACCAGCUGCUGCCUUGCCUGGACCUCCCCUGCUCUGCUGCUGCUGGACCAGCCCUUCCCCACGGCAUCGUUAUCCGCUUGAGUCCUCCUUCUAAGUGUGUGCUGUGCACUGCCCUGUAUUGAAUUUCAUUUUAUUGAUCUCAGACUAUUUCUCCAUUUGUCAAGACCACUUUGAUUUCUAGCCCUCCAAAGUGCUUGCAAAGUGUGCUUCCCCACCUGGAGGUACCCACAGAUUUUAAAGUGUGCUUUCUAUCCCAUUACCCUCCUCAUUAAUAAAUAAUAGCAGCACGAUCCA